ACCUUGCUGACGAACUGAACGGCAUCCAGCAGCGAGAACUGGGCAGGGU
RNAcentral lists this non-coding RNA (49 nucleotides) under unclassified sequences. RNAcentral's name for it is "DUF2693-FD RNA". It matches the Rfam family "DUF2693-FD RNA". From Rfam's summary of the family: DUF2693-FD RNA is a non-coding RNA (ncRNA) recognised in Bacteroides by a bioinformatic analisis by Zasha Weinberg. No recognised genes. The record is from Rfam by way of RNAcentral.